GACGAACGCUGGCGGCGUGCUUAACACAUGCAAGUCGAACGGAAAGGCCCUGCUUUUGUGGGGUGCUCGCGUGGCGAACGGGUGAGUAACACGUGAGUAACCUGCCCUUGACUUUGGGAUAACUUCAGGAAACUGGGGCUAAUACCGGAUAGGAGCUCCUGCUGGAGGGUGGGGGUUGGAAAGUUUCGGUGGUUGGGGAUGGAUGCGCGGCUUAUCAGCUUGUUGGUGGGGGAGUGGCUUACCAAGGGUUUGACGGGUAGCCGGCAUGAGAGGGUGACCGGCCACAUUGGGCCUGAGAGACGGACCAGAGUCCAACGGGAGGCAGUAGUGGGGAAUAUGACACAAUGGGCGGAAGCCUGAUGCGACAACGCCGCGUGCGGGAUGACGGCCUUCGGGUUGUAAACCGCUUUCGCCUGUGACGAAGCGUGAGUGACGGUAAUGGGUGAAGAAGCACCGGCUAACUACGUG
Molecule: ribosomal RNA, 468 nt
Filed under: uncultured bacterium
Lineage: Bacteria
Description: partial 16S ribosomal RNA
Rfam family: Bacterial small subunit ribosomal RNA
Source: RNAcentral